Molecule: transfer RNA, 91 nt
Filed under: Pararhodospirillum photometricum DSM 122
Lineage: Bacteria; Pseudomonadati; Pseudomonadota; Alphaproteobacteria; Rhodospirillales; Rhodospirillaceae
Description: tRNA-Ser
Source: RNAcentral
GCCAAGCGCCCCUUGGUCAACGAACCAGAGAUCAUCGCCCGCUUGGCGGCGGCGGGCUUCGACAUCAUCCCCCUGGAAGGCGUGUCGGUGC